UCCUCAUCCGAUGUCGGAUUUCAAUGAAAUUGAUAUUGAUGGAAAGAUUAUUCAAGGAUAUACAUAACAAAAAGUAGAAAUUAUAGAAAUAAAAUACAAUAUAAAUAUCAAUCACUUUGGAAGCUACCCCUAUCCACUAAAAAAUAGAUUUAGGCUUAAAGAACGAUUGAGGUAUUACAUUAAGUUGUUUUGGUGAAUAUGGGAAAUUAGUGGGAAUACUUGCACCACUUUCAUCUCCCUUGAAGCCAAUUCUCCUAGUACCAGUUGGUCGAAUCAACAUUUUUUUUGCUUGAAGCCUAGUCUUUUCUUCAGAUAUUGCCUUAGGCUUUAGAAUUGUCUGAUCCUCCUCCUCAGAUUCAUCAUCAUCCUCAUCAGAAACUACACUUGAAGAUGUAAUAGGUUGGUUGGCACUUCUCUUUGACGUUGAAGCUCCAACAUAUUUCUUGACAUUUGUCUUUGAAUUUGAAUGUUCAGCAAAGAGGCUUGUCUGUUGACCGAAAGAAGAAAUAAAAUCAGGAGUAGGC
This 524-nucleotide long non-coding RNA is filed under the name Capsicum annuum. RNAcentral's name for it is "long non-coding RNA (CANN_LNC020921)". Lineage: Eukaryota; Viridiplantae; Streptophyta; Magnoliopsida; Solanales; Solanaceae. The record is from RNAcentral.